GAUGAAGAACGUAGUGAAAUGCGAUAAUUAAUGUGAAUUGCAGAAUUUAGUGAAUCAUCGAAUCUUUGAACGCACAUUGCGCCCGCCAGUAUUCUGGCGGGCAUGCCUGUUCGAGCGUCAUUUCAACCAUCAAGCCCCAGGCUUGUGUUGGGGACCUGCGGCUGCCGCAGGCCCUGAAAACCAGUGGCGGGCUCGCUAGUCACUCCGAGCGUAGUAAUACAUCUCGCUCAGGGCGUGCUGCGGGUUCCGGCCGUUAAAAGCCUUAUUUACCCAAGGUUGACCUCGGAUCAGGUAGGAAGACCCGCUGAACUUAAGCAUAUCAAUAAGCGGAGGA
RNAcentral lists this unclassified non-coding RNA (334 nucleotides) under soil metagenome. RNAcentral's name for it is "partial contains 5.8S ribosomal RNA, internal transcribed spacer 2, and large subunit ribosomal RNA". The stretch from base 1 to 120 matches the Rfam family "5.8S ribosomal RNA", at positions 35 to 154 of the family's 154-position model. The record is from RNAcentral.